CUAGUUUGGAUACAUUGGUCACAGUCAUGUGGAGGAGACCUUCUUUAAGACUUGCGGUUAAUAUAGUGGGGUGGGGAGACCUCUCGACACUCGAGAGGAAUCAGAUUCAUGGAAGGAGUGCCAAAGUGGAAAGGGCGAUAUUUAGCGUAGAGAAAUCGGGAGAUGCUCGUCGCCAUGGCCACUCUUGGAUACAGAGGAGGUUUGGGAGCUUCACCGAAGACUUUUUGGCUAUCAACCAGAGGAAUGAUGGUAAUAUUAAGCAGUUGGUAAAAAGUAUGGAUGACCAUAAAGCGAUGAGGAUCAGAAUCUUGUCAUUGAAUUUGGAGAUGUAGCAAGCUCAGAACUCAUCUUUGCCUUCUUGGAUGGCUAGCAAUGUUGUUGCAAACUUCUGGAGACAUUGGCUACUGAUGAAAUGGAUGGAGCUUAAAUUCUUUUCACCAAUUGCUCGUUAGACAUUUUUCCAUAGAGAUAGUACCUCUAUCGAAAGACUCCAACAUGUUCCUCUUGUAUCAGUUGGAUAAAAGAAGAUUGGUUCUGAAGAUCCACUUAGUUGAA
Musa acuminata AAA Group (dessert banana) is the source of this 555-nucleotide long non-coding RNA. RefSeq lists it as uncharacterized. The record is from RefSeq and is a predicted model, not a curated record. Lineage: Eukaryota; Viridiplantae; Streptophyta; Magnoliopsida; Zingiberales; Musaceae. The transcript is spliced from 2 exons.